RNAcentral lists this ribosomal RNA (231 nucleotides) under uncultured bacterium. RNAcentral describes it as "partial 16S ribosomal RNA". It matches the Rfam family "Bacterial small subunit ribosomal RNA", at positions 118 to 348 of the family's 1533-position model. The record is from RNAcentral.
UGAGCAAUCUGCCCUUCUCUUCGGAAUAAGCGUUGGAAACGACGUCUAAUGCCGAAUACGACCUCCUUUCGCAUGAUCGGAGGUGGAAAGCUCCGGCGGAGAAGGAUGAGCUCGCGGCCUAUCAGCUAGUUGGUGUGGGUAAUGGCCCACAAGGCGACGACGGGUAGCUGGUCUGAGAGGACGGCCAGCCACAUUGGGACUGAGACACGGCCCAGACCUCCGUAGGGACGG